This 82-nucleotide transfer RNA is filed under the name Schistocephalus solidus. It matches the Rfam family "tRNA". From Rfam's summary of the family: Transfer RNA (tRNA) molecules are approximately 80 nucleotides in length. Their secondary structure includes four short double-helical elements and three loops (D, anti-codon, and T loops). The record is from Rfam by way of RNAcentral. Lineage: Eukaryota; Metazoa; Platyhelminthes; Cestoda; Diphyllobothriidea; Diphyllobothriidae.
GGCCUCUUAGCUCAGUUGGCUAGAGCGUUGGAUGUACUAAGGCGUUCUCCUGCUGUGGUGGGUUCGAAUCCCACCGAGGCUA